GUACAAUAGCAUAGUGAAAGAAGUGGCCCUCUUUUGUAUUUUGAUAUUAUAUUUUGUAGCCAAUUCUGGCCUCAAGUUAUAUAUAUGUAAUUAGAACUCAUAUAUUCGUAAGAGAUUUGUAUUAAUUUGCUCCAUUGUAUUUAAUUUUUAUCAUGCACUCGUAAUUCUGUUUCUAUAACUGACAUCCACAUGCCUUAAUUACAAUUUGGAAUGUUACAGGUGCUAGUUUCCAACUUCGCUUUAGUAAAUGGGAGAACUGUAGGGCCUACCAUACAGGGCUUCAUACGGAGCCAUGUUGAUGCUGGAAUGAUAAUUGUUAUUAUAAAUAAAUUGACAC
Molecule: long non-coding RNA, 337 nt
Filed under: Carica papaya (papaya)
Lineage: Eukaryota; Viridiplantae; Streptophyta; Magnoliopsida; Brassicales; Caricaceae
Description: long non-coding RNA (CPAP_LNC011051)
Source: RNAcentral